GUUAAAUGGUUCUAGUAAAAUGUAUCGGUUGAUAUGAUAAGCAAUGGUAUUUCCAGCCUCUUCUGAUGGGGACUAAUUUGGCUUUCUCCCCAGCUGAAAUGAGUGAGAACCUGGUUGCACUGGUACUAUAAGCUGACAGUCCUAGGUCAGGGUGUGUAAAAGGAACUUCUCAGUAAAGGUCCAACCACAUCGAGAGUACUGGGUGCUGUCCCAAAUGUCCCACAUUUUAAGAGGAACAUUGCUAAGUAGAAGCAAGUCCAGAGGAGGAUGGUGAUCUGUUUUGAAGAAACUCAGAAAAACAAGUGGCAUGAGAGGAUCAAUCCAAUUCAAUAAAUGAAAUUCAAUUUAACAAACAAUUUAUUAGAUACCUA
This is a long non-coding RNA of Sarcophilus harrisii (Tasmanian devil), 371 nucleotides long. RefSeq lists it as uncharacterized. The record is from RefSeq and is a predicted model, not a curated record. Lineage: Eukaryota; Metazoa; Chordata; Mammalia; Dasyuromorphia; Dasyuridae. The transcript is spliced from 3 exons.